RNAcentral lists this ribosomal RNA (459 nucleotides) under uncultured bacterium. RNAcentral's name for it is "partial 16S ribosomal RNA". It matches the Rfam family "Bacterial small subunit ribosomal RNA", at positions 339 to 795 of the family's 1533-position model. The record is from RNAcentral.
CUACGGGUGGCUGCAGUAAGGAAUAUUGCGCAAUGGAGGCAACUCUGACGCAGCCAUGCCGCGUGCAGGAAGAAGGCCUUAUGGGUCGUAAACUGCUUUUAUUUAGGAAUAAACCCCCGAACGUGUUCGGGGCUGAAGGUACUAAACGAAUAAGCACCGGCUAACUCCGUGCCAGCAGCCGCGGUAAUACGGAGGGUGCAAGCGUUAUCUGGAUUUAUUGGGUUUAAAGGGUGCGCAGGCGGGCUAUUAAGUCAGUGGUGAAAUCCCGGGGCUCAACUCCGGAACUGCCAUUGAUACUGAUAGUCUUGAGUUUGGUUGAAGUGGGCGGAAUGUAGCAUGUAGCGGUGAAAUGCAUAGAUAUGCUACAGAACACCAAUCGCGAAGGCAGCUCACUAAGCCAAAACUGACGCUCAUGCACGAAAGCGUGGGGAUCAAACAGGAUUAGAUACCCUAGUAGUC